CUACGGGACGCUGCAGUGGGGAAUAUUGCACAAUGGAGGAAACUCUGAUGCAGCAACGCCGCGUGGAGGAUGACACUUUUCGGAGCGUAAACUCCUUUUAUAUAGGAAGAAGAUGACGGUACUAUAUGAAUAAGCGCCGGCUAACUCCGUGACCAGCAGCCGCGGUACUACGGAGGGCGCAAGCGUUACUCGGAAUCACUGGGCGUAAAGAGCGUGUAGGCGGAUUAAAAAGUCAGAAGUGAAAUCCUAUAGCUUAACUAUAGAACUGCUUCUGAAACUCUUAAUCUAGAAUAUGGGAGAGGUAGAUGGAAUUUCUGGUGUAGGGGUAAAAUCCGUAGAGAUCAGAAGGAAUACCGAUUGCGAAGGCGAUCUACUAGAACAUUAUUGACGCUGAGACGCGAAAGCGUGGGGAGCAAACAGGAUUAGAUACCCCAGUAGUC
This 440-nucleotide ribosomal RNA is filed under the name uncultured bacterium. Its description in RNAcentral is "partial 16S ribosomal RNA". It matches the Rfam family "Bacterial small subunit ribosomal RNA", at positions 339 to 795 of the family's 1533-position model. The record is from RNAcentral.